GGUUUCUUAGUAUUUAGUAUAGGAAAUUUGGCCUGCCCACUGAAAUUAUUUAAGGGCCGCAGUAUAUUGACUGUGCAAAGGUAGCAUAAUCAUUAGUCUUUUAAUUGGAGGCUGGAAUGAAUGGUUGGACGAAGGAAAAGCUGUUUUUUAUAAAUUUAUUUAUUGAAUUUGAAUUUUAAGUUAAAAGUCUUAAUUAUAAUUGAGGGACGAGAAGACCCUAUAGAGUUUAAUAAAUUAAUUUAAUUUGGUUUAGUUAAUAAUUAAUUUAUGAUAUUUUUAUAUUUAUUAGGUUGGGGUGAUUUUGAGAUAGAUAAAACUCUUAAUUGUUUUUAAUUUUAUUUUAAGGUUAUUGAUCCAUAAUUAGUUUAUGAUUAUAAGAUUAAAUUACCUUAGGGAUAACAGCAUAAUUCUUUUUGAAAGUUCUUAUUGAAAAAAGGGAUUAUGACCUCGAUGUUGGAUUAAGAUAAGUUUUGGGUGUAGAUGCUUAUAAAUCUAGGUCUGUUCGACCUUUAAAAUCUUACA
RNAcentral lists this ribosomal RNA (522 nucleotides) under Pseudomiopteryx infuscata. Its description in RNAcentral is "partial 16S ribosomal RNA". The stretch from base 395 to 522 matches the Rfam family "Bacterial large subunit ribosomal RNA", at positions 2473 to 2600 of the family's 2925-position model. Lineage: Eukaryota; Metazoa; Arthropoda; Insecta; Mantodea; Thespidae. The record is from RNAcentral.